This 458-nucleotide ribosomal RNA is filed under the name uncultured bacterium. Its description in RNAcentral is "partial 16S ribosomal RNA". It matches the Rfam family "Bacterial small subunit ribosomal RNA", at positions 28 to 507 of the family's 1533-position model. The record is from RNAcentral.
GAUAAACGCUGGCGGCGUGCAUGAGACAUGCAAGUCGAACGAAGGAUCGGGCUUGCUCGAUCCUUAGUGGCGGACGGCUGAGUAACGCGUAGGUGACCUACCCCGAAGUGGGGAAUAACUGCCCGAAAGGGUGGCUAAUACCGCAUGUGGUCGCACGUUCAUUCGUGCGAGUAAAGCCGCAAGGCGCUUCGGGCGGGGCCUGCGUCCGAUUAGCUCGUUGGUGGGGUAAUGGCUUACCAAGGCGACGAUCGGUAGGUGGUCUGAGAGGACGAUCACCCAGACUGGGACUGAGACACGGCCCAGACUCCUACGGGAGGCAGCAGUCGGGAAUUUUGCUCAAUGGGGGAAACCCUGAAGCAGCAACGCCGCGUGAGGGAUGAAGGCCUUCGGGUUGUAAACCUCCUUUGUCAGGGACGAUGAUGACGGUACCUGGCGAAUAAGCCACGGCUAACUACGUG